This 67-nucleotide transfer RNA is filed under the name Procryptotermes hesperus. RNAcentral's name for it is "tRNA-Met". It matches the Rfam family "tRNA". From Rfam's summary of the family: Transfer RNA (tRNA) molecules are approximately 80 nucleotides in length. Their secondary structure includes four short double-helical elements and three loops (D, anti-codon, and T loops). Lineage: Eukaryota; Metazoa; Arthropoda; Insecta; Blattodea; Kalotermitidae. The record is from RNAcentral.
AGAAAAGUAAGCUAAGGUAAGCUAAUGGGUUCAUAUCCCAUAGAUAGAGUAUUCACUCUCUUCUCUA